UACGUAGGGUGCGAGCGUUAAUCGGAAUUACUGGGCGUAAAGCGUGCGCAGGCGGCUUUGCAAGACAGAUGUGAAAUCCCCGGGCUUAACCUGGGAACUGCAUUUGUGACUGCAUGGCUGGAGUGCGGCAGAGGGGGAUGGAAUUCCGCGUGUAGCAGUGAAAUACGUAGAUAUCAGGAGGAACACCUGUGGUGUGAGACAGCU
Molecule: ribosomal RNA, 204 nt
Filed under: uncultured bacterium
Lineage: Bacteria
Description: partial 16S ribosomal RNA
Rfam family: Bacterial small subunit ribosomal RNA
Source: RNAcentral